CCAGACCCCUGCAGAGUCUAAAUCACACGAAAAGCAGAGAGAGAUCCUUAAAAAACCUCUAGAGAACUAACUUACCCAGACCCUCAAGAAGAUCUUGACAACUCCAAGGUGGGGCUAACUUACCAGACCCCUGCAGAGCCCUGGUCGCAAGAGAAGCGGAGGGAGAUCCUUAGGAAACCUCCGAAGGGCUAACUAAUCAAACACUCCAAAC
This 211-nucleotide long non-coding RNA is filed under the name Elaeis guineensis (African oil palm). Its description in RNAcentral is "long non-coding RNA (EGUI_LNC019008)". Lineage: Eukaryota; Viridiplantae; Streptophyta; Magnoliopsida; Arecales; Arecaceae. The record is from RNAcentral.